RNAcentral lists this small RNA (29 nucleotides) under Bombyx mori (domestic silkworm). RNAcentral's name for it is "ovarian small RNA-10281". Lineage: Eukaryota; Metazoa; Arthropoda; Insecta; Lepidoptera; Bombycidae. The record is from RNAcentral.
AACCACGACGCCACGCCGGUAUACCGGUA